GACGAACGCUGGCGGCGUGCUUAACACAUGCAAGUCGAACGGUGAUGCUCCAGCUUGCUGGAGUGGAUCAGUGGCGAACGGGUGAGUAACACGUGAGCAACCUGCCCCAGACUCUGGAAUAAGCGCUGGAAACGGCGUCUAAUACUGGAUACGAAACUGGCCCGCAUGGGCAUGGUUUGGAAAGUUUUUCGGUUUGGGAUGGGCUCGCGGCCUAUCAGCUUGUUGGUGAGGUAAUGGCUCACCAAGGCGACGACGGGUAGCCGGCCUGAGAGGGCGACCGGCCACACUGGGACUGAGACACGGCCCAGACUCCUACGGGAGGCAGCAGUGGGGAAUAUUGCACAAUGGGCGAAAGCUUGAUGCAGCGACGCCGCGUGAGGGAUGACGGCCUUCGGGUUGUAAACCUCUUUCAGCAGGGAAGAAGCGAAAGUGACGGUACCUGCAGAAGAAGCACCGGCUAACUACGUG
This 468-nucleotide ribosomal RNA is filed under the name uncultured bacterium. RNAcentral describes it as "partial 16S ribosomal RNA". It matches the Rfam family "Bacterial small subunit ribosomal RNA", at positions 28 to 507 of the family's 1533-position model. The record is from RNAcentral.